UGGGGAAUAUUGGACAAUGGGCGAAAGCCUGAUCCAGCUAUGCCGCGUGGGUGAAGAAGGCCUUCGGGUUGUAAAGCCCUGUCGGGAGGGAAGAAAAAAAUGACGGUACCUCGCAAGAAAGCACCGGCUAACUCCGUGCCAGCAGCCGCGGUAAUACGGAGGGUGCAAGCGUUGCUCGGAAUCACUGGGCGUAAAGCGACCGCAGGCGGUCUGACAAGUCGGAUGUGAAAGCCCUGGGCUCAACCCAGGAACUGCAUUCGAAACUGGCAGACUUGAGUACGGGAGAGGGGGGUGGAAUUCCUGGUGUAGGGGUGAAAUUCGUUGAUAUCAGGAGGAACACCGGCGGCGAAGGCGGCCCCCUGGCCCGCAACUGACGCUCAUGGUCGAAAGCGUGGGGAGCAAACAG
Molecule: ribosomal RNA, 406 nt
Filed under: uncultured bacterium
Lineage: Bacteria
Description: bacterial SSU rRNA
Rfam family: Bacterial small subunit ribosomal RNA
Source: RNAcentral